UACGUAGGUGGCAAGCGUUGUCCGGAUUUACUGGGUGUAAAGGGCGUGUAGCCGGGUUGACAAGUCAGAUGUGAAAUCCUGCGGCUUAACCGCAGAACUGCAUUUGAAACUGUUGAUCUUGAGUACUGGAGAGGCAGACGGAAUUCCUAGUGUAGCGGUGAAAUGCGUAGAUAUUAGGAGGAACACCAGUGGCGAAGGCGGUCUGCUGGACAGCAACUGACGGUGAGGCG
RNAcentral lists this ribosomal RNA (230 nucleotides) under uncultured microorganism. RNAcentral describes it as "partial 16S ribosomal RNA". It matches the Rfam family "Bacterial small subunit ribosomal RNA", at positions 524 to 753 of the family's 1533-position model. The record is from RNAcentral.